CGGCCCAGACUCCUACGGGAGGCAGCAGUAGGGAAUCUUCCACAAUGGACGCAAGUCUGAUGGAGCAACGCCGCGUGAGUGAAGAAGGUCUUCGGAUCGUAAAACUCUGUUGUUAGAGAAGAACACGAGUGAGAGUAACUGUUCAUUCGAUGACGGUAUCUAACCAGCAAGUCACGGCUAACUACGUGCCAGCAGCCGCGGUAAUACGUAGGUGGCAAGCGUUGUCCGGAUUUAUUGGGCGUAAAGGGAACGCAGGCGGUCUUUUAAGUCUGAUGUGAAAGCCUUCGGCUUAACCGGAGUAGUGCAUUGGAAACUGGAAGACUUGAGUGCAGAAGAGGAGAGUGGAACUCCAUGUGUAGCGGUGAAAUGCGUAGAUAUAUGGAAGAACACCAGUGGCGAAAGCGGCUCUCUGGUCUGUAACUGACGCUGA
This 430-nucleotide ribosomal RNA is filed under the name Ligilactobacillus salivarius. Its description in RNAcentral is "bacterial SSU rRNA". It matches the Rfam family "Bacterial small subunit ribosomal RNA", at positions 327 to 749 of the family's 1533-position model. Lineage: Bacteria; Bacillati; Bacillota; Bacilli; Lactobacillales; Lactobacillaceae. The record is from RNAcentral.